Alexandromys fortis (reed vole) is the source of this 1494-nucleotide long non-coding RNA. RefSeq lists it as uncharacterized. Lineage: Eukaryota; Metazoa; Chordata; Mammalia; Rodentia; Cricetidae. The transcript has 3 exons. The record is from RefSeq and is a predicted model, not a curated record.
CUACUGGAAACUCAGAACUUGGGUUCGAAGCACAGUACUUGGUCUUACCACUGUUGCAUAAAGUUAAGAGAAGAUCCUGUCCUUUUGAGUCCUAGUCACAUCAUCUGUAAUACAGAGAUAAGAGGUUUCCAUGGUGUCGAGCUGAGACUUUCAAUAGAUGCAAUACGAAGCGAUAAGAGCAUGUCAGUAGUAGUUCUCAAUGCAUAUAUAUUAUUGUUCAUUUUCUGCCCAAAUGAAUCAUCAAUUGUUUUUUUUCCUAGGCGUGUGAAUGAAACUUACUAAGCAAAAUCAUAUUUUAAAAAUUAUUUCCAGAUCCUUUUUCUUUUUUUUUUUUCCUUUUUCUUUCUUUUGGGAACUCUUACACUAUACCAAUCUUUGUAUGGCUGGUGUUGGUGAAAGAAACAUUAGGACUGAGGACUAACAGGUGGUGAUAUGGAAAUGUGUUUCCCCCUCCCUUUUCCUUAGAGAAAAAGUAACCAAGUAACCAGUAACCACAAGGACAGAAGCUGACGGACACAAUUUCCUUUCCACAUGAGGGAACUCACAUUUUAUUUGAGACAGUCACUAAAGAGCCUGCUACUUCUGCUGGAAUUUGAUUUGCUGUGGUUUAAAAUGUCCCCUAUGCCACCAGCAAUUGUUGAAAACAUCUGCAAACUUGGGUUGUGGCCAUAGGAAAGCAGAAGAUUAGGACAAGCUCCUAGAAAACAUAUGAAGACAAAGGAAGAAUUACCAGGCAGAGAAGAGAAACAGGAUAAUAUAAAACUGUGAAAGCUCAAGAGGAGACCAGAACGAGUUUUAGAAGUCUUAACUGUAGUAAGUGAGUUGAGAGAUGCAAAAGAGCUGCUUCUUCCCCCACAGUGUCUGGAUCUCUUCCUCAGCAUGAGGGCUCUCCUAUGGCCCCUUGUGAAGCCCAAGAUUGUAAAUAGAGGAUCAAAAACAACAUCCAGUACUAUUCAGAUGGAUAGGUCAAAAUUAAACUCAACCGUUGGGAACCCCGAAGUCUCCACACCAGGGUAUGAAGAAGAUUCAAGGGCCACAUCAGUUAUAGGAACAAGAAAAACUAUAAGCAUUUAGAGUCCAGCAUCCUCUUGAACUUCCGGGUUGGUCAACAAGGUCAAGGAACAGGAAGUGCUGAUGUGAAACAAAUCUUACUGUGUUGAGAUCUAUCACAACAUUUCUUUGAAGAGUUAUAAAAUUGUCAUUGAAAGAACAGCACAGGUGAACUUUGUUAGAGUCAUCAAUCCCAAAGCCAGCCUUGGCAGAAAAAAAAAAGGCCCAGCUCAUGUGCUUUAUGUUUCAUUCUGUUUAAAUGAAACAUCUAAGAGGGGAGGAUGACAGAGGCAAGUGGGAGGGAGUAAGACAGAAGGGGAUAGGUAGGGAAGAGAGAAGAAUUUGGACGAUAUAAUUUUGUUUAGCAUGGUUUGACGUCAUAGAAUGAUUGAAAGAAUGAACUUCGACAACAGUGCUCUGUAAAGUUGUUGAACCACAAGUUAC